GAUGAACGCUGGCGGCGUGCCUAAUACAUGCAAGUCGAGCGAACAGACGAGGAGCUUGCUCCUUUGACGUUAGCGGCGGACGGGUGAGUAACACGUGGAUAACCUACCUAUAAGACUGGGAUAACUUCGGGAAACCGGAGCUAAUACCGGAUAACAUGUUGAACCGCAUGGUUCAACAGUGAAAGACGGUCUUGCUGUCACUUAUAGAUGGAUCCGCGCCGCAUUAGCUAGUUGGUAAGGUAACGGCUUACCAAGGCAACGAUGCGUAGCCGACCUGAGAGGGUGAUCGGCCACACUGGAACUGAGACACGGUCCAGACUCCUACGGGAGGCAGCAGUAGGGAAUCUUCCGCAAUGGGCGAAAGCCUGACGGAGCAACGCCGCGUGAGUGAAGAAGGUCUUCGGAUCGUAAAACUCUGUUAUUAGGGAAGAACAAAUGUGUAAGUAACUAUGCACGUCUUGACGGUACCUAAUCAGAAAGCCACGGCUAACUACGUGCCAGCAGCCGCGGUAAUACGUAGGUGGCAAGCGUUAUCCGGAAUUAUUGGGCGUAAAGCGCGCGUAGGCGGUUUUUUAAGUCUGAUGUGAAAGCCCACGGCUCAACCGUGGAGGGUCAUUGGAAACUGGAAAACUUGAGUGCAGAAGAGGAAAGUGGAAUUCCAUGUGUAGCGGUGAAAUGCGCAGAGAUAUGGAGGAACACCAGUGGCGAAGGCGACUUUCUGGUCUGUAACUGACGCUGAUGUGCGAAAGCGUGGGGAUCAAACAGG
Molecule: ribosomal RNA, 766 nt
Filed under: Staphylococcus epidermidis
Lineage: Bacteria; Bacillati; Bacillota; Bacilli; Caryophanales; Staphylococcaceae
Description: bacterial SSU rRNA
Rfam family: Bacterial small subunit ribosomal RNA
Source: RNAcentral